This 482-nucleotide ribosomal RNA is filed under the name uncultured bacterium. RNAcentral's name for it is "partial 16S ribosomal RNA". It matches the Rfam family "Bacterial small subunit ribosomal RNA", at positions 28 to 523 of the family's 1533-position model. The record is from RNAcentral.
GAUGAACGCUGGCGGCGCGCUUAACACAUGCAAGUCGAACGGUAAGGCCCCUUCGGGGGUACACGAGUGGCGAACGGGUGAGUAACACGUGAGCAACCUGCCCUUGACUCUGGGAUAGCAGUUGGAAACAGCUGCUAAUACCGGAUACGACCUUCGAUGACAUCAUCUGGAGGUGGAAAGCGCUUUAGCGGUCAAGGAUGGGCUCGCGGCCUAUCAGCUUGUGGUGAGGUAACGGCUCACCAAGGCUUCGACGGGUAGCCGGCCUGAGAGGGCGACCGGCCACACUGGGACUGAGAUACGGCCCAGACUCCUACGGGAGGCAGCAGUGGGGAAUAUUGCACAAUGGGCGCAAGCCUGAUGCAGCAACGCCGCGUGCGGGAUGACGGCCUUCGGGUUGUAAACCGCUUUCAGUUCCGACGAAGCGCAAGUGACGGUAGGAACAGAAGAAGGACCGGCCAACUACGUGCCAGCCGCCGCAGUAA